Molecule: transfer RNA, 73 nt
Filed under: Chloroflexota bacterium
Lineage: Bacteria; Bacillati; Chloroflexota
Description: Chloroflexi bacterium (groundwater metagenome) tRNA-Val
Rfam family: tRNA
About the family: Transfer RNA (tRNA) molecules are approximately 80 nucleotides in length. Their secondary structure includes four short double-helical elements and three loops (D, anti-codon, and T loops).
Source: RNAcentral
GCCCAAGUCGCCUAAUGGUAUGACAUCUCGCCUACACCGAGAAAGAAUCUGGGUUCAAUUCCUAGCUUGGGCA